Long non-coding RNA from Rhipicephalus microplus (southern cattle tick), 430 nucleotides. The record is from RefSeq and is a predicted model, not a curated record. NCBI's taxonomy places the organism in Eukaryota, Metazoa, Arthropoda, Arachnida, Ixodida, Ixodidae.
GUAUUCGAAAUUGUAUGCGCGACGUGGACUGUGUCAUACUUUGUGGAAACCAUCCGGAUGAAACCGCCCAGUGAUCCGCACAGUUGUUACUGUGGAGAGGAUUCAGUGUAGAUGCAAAUACGAACAAGAACAUCCUGCCACAGGCGUGCUUAUAGGUUUUACCGAGGGAACGACCUGACAAAUACCGUGUUGGCUUCAUUACGCUCAAAGCUGUAGACUUCCACACUCUCAUUUUGUCACCCACGUUCCCGGAACCAGAUAACCUAACUGAGGUACCCCGAGUGGUACCACCAGCACACAUAGAAGGGUCAUUGGACCUAAACCACAACGAAUUAUUAUACUCAAAGGCAUAAAGGCACGUAUACUUAAAUACCGAAAAAAAUUAUUUUGCUGCGGCUUCUCCUUCUUUUCGUAAUAAAAGCAUGGACCU